AGCAUGGCCCUUACGGCCUGGGCGACACACGUGCUACAAUGCCCCAACUACAAAGCGAUGCCACCCGGCAACGGGGAGCUAAUCGCAAAAAGGUGGGCCCAGUUCGGAUUGGGGUCUGCAACCCGACCCCAUGAAGCCGGAAUCGCUAGUAAUCGCGGAUCAGCCAUGCCGCGGUGAAUACGUUCCCGGGCCUU
This 194-nucleotide ribosomal RNA is filed under the name uncultured Thermus sp. Its description in RNAcentral is "partial 16S ribosomal RNA". It matches the Rfam family "Bacterial small subunit ribosomal RNA", at positions 1192 to 1382 of the family's 1533-position model. Lineage: Bacteria; Thermotogati; Deinococcota; Deinococci; Thermales; Thermaceae. The record is from RNAcentral.